Panthera uncia (snow leopard) is the source of this 429-nucleotide long non-coding RNA. RefSeq lists it as uncharacterized. The record is from RefSeq and is a predicted model, not a curated record. Lineage: Eukaryota; Metazoa; Chordata; Mammalia; Carnivora; Felidae. The transcript is spliced from 4 exons.
CACGCCCGCCCCGGCGUUUCUAACGGGAGGGGCCAGAGCGGCUCUGCGAGGAGGCCAAAAUCAUUACUGGCCACCUCAGUGUUUUCACCGCCUCCGUGCGAGGGAUGACCAACAAAGCGGUACUAACCAGUUAUGUAAGAUCACGUCACUGAAGAAGCUGAGUACAGAGAUGAAUUUAGAGCCUCAGAAAUGCAAGAAUCAGAUGACACAUGUUGGGCACAGAACACCCCUGCCUUGUGUACAACAUUAACAUUUAAUCAGCGAGAGAGUGACGGAGAGAGAGAUCAUCUCAAGCAGAUUCCAGACUUGGAGCCCGAUGUGGGGCUCAAUCCCAAGAUUCUGGGGAUCACGACCCGAGCCAAAAUCAAGAGUCGGACACUCAACUGACUGAGCCACCCGGGUGCCCCUGAAUAAAACUUUAAGAAAUUC